GACGAACGCUGGCGGCGUGCUUAACACAUGCAAGUCGAACGGAAAGGCCUUUUCGGAGGUACUCGAGUGGCGAACGGGUGAGUAACACGUGGGUGAUCUGCCCUGCACUCUGGGAUAAGCCUGGGAAACUGGGUCUAAUACCGGAUAGGACCGCACUUUAGUGUGUGUGGUGGAAAGUUUUUUCGGUGUAGGAUGAGCCCGCGGCCUAUCAGCUUGUUGGUGGGGUAAUGGCCUACCAAGGUGGCGACGGGUAGCCGGACUGAGAGGUUGGUCGGCCACAUUGGGACUGAGAUACGGCCCAGACUCCUACGGGAGGCAGCAGUGGGGAAUAUUGCACAAUGGGCGCAAGCCUGAUGCAGCGACGCCGCGUGGGGGAUGACGGCCUUCGGGUUGGAAACUCCUUUCGCCAGGGACGAAGCGUUUUGUGACGGUACCUGGAGAAGAAGCACCGGCUAACUACGUG
Molecule: ribosomal RNA, 463 nt
Filed under: uncultured bacterium
Lineage: Bacteria
Description: partial 16S ribosomal RNA
Rfam family: Bacterial small subunit ribosomal RNA
Source: RNAcentral